AAACCAUUGACUAUAGAGAAACUUUCUUGAAAAAGCAUUUUAUGUAGUGUAAUUGUCAAUACAUCACAUAAUUUGUAAUGUGUCAUAUAAUUAUAGUUAUGAGCUAGAACAAUUGCAAAAAUUUGGGUCAUUCAGAUUAUACGAAACGCUAACGCGUAUAAGUUUUACAAAGAACGAUUUGUGCAUUGUACUUUGAAAACAGCAUUCUUUUCAACCUUGCACUGCACAAAUUCAAUUUCAAAUCAAUUAUUCGUAGCACUUACUUACCAUGGUUUGAUAUAAACUUCAUUGAAAUUCAUAAAAAAAAAAUCGUUAUCAGCAGUUGACUGAGACAAUGGGAAAAUUACCUACCCAUAAUGAAGGAUUUGAUAUCAGCUCUUGAAUUGUCCCUUAUUUCCACUGCACAGAACUUUGUAUAAAAAGCCCGCGAUAUUUUCACAGAAACAUCAGUCACUUGAAGCAAGUAAUACAACAAGCAGCAAACAGCCGCCAAAACCAAUCAAAAUGUACAAGCUUAUCGUUUUCACCGUCCUCUUGGCCGUCGUUGCCGUCAAUGCUCAAAUGCCCGAGGGCAUGCCAGCUUUGCCAGAAAUGCCUGCUGCCCCGGAGAUGCCAGGAGGCGCGGAAAUGCCAGCCACUCCCGAAAUGCCAGCUACCCCUGAAAUGCCAGCCGGUAUGCCAAAUCGCAUCUCCAACCGUAUUUCGAACCGUGGAAACCGUGCAUAAACGGUGCAGGGAUCAAGUGGAAGUGAACGUAUGGAUUUAAGUUAAUAAAGGAAGAGUUUGUUUCAAAAGCA
Long non-coding RNA from Wyeomyia smithii (pitcher-plant mosquito), 797 nucleotides. RefSeq lists it as uncharacterized. The record is from RefSeq and is a predicted model, not a curated record. The transcript is spliced from 2 exons. Lineage: Eukaryota; Metazoa; Arthropoda; Insecta; Diptera; Culicidae.